This 414-nucleotide long non-coding RNA is filed under the name Drosophila guanche. Lineage: Eukaryota; Metazoa; Arthropoda; Insecta; Diptera; Drosophilidae. The record is from RNAcentral.
UAGCCUUAGGAAUCCCUCCACCCAGCCAGCCGUACAAUGAGCAGCUGAUUGCUGGGCAAUUUCACUCUCCAGUUGCUUGAGUUUCGGUGUCCCUCUGUUGCAUACUCUGCUCGUUUCUGUGUGUAUGGUGUUUGGCACUGCAGCCGGAAAGGGCAUCCAGGGAAUCGUUUGGCAUUUUCUCCCUUUUCCAUUCUGCAGCAUCUUGUCUCCGUUUUCCAAUUCAAUUCGAUUCGUUUUCGUUUGCUUGUGCUUGUGCUUGUGCUGUAAUGAUAAAGAUUUAUUUUCGAGCAACAAUUGUUUGGGCAUUAAAAGUGCGCUCCGCUUCGGUCCACCCAGCCCUCGUGGGUCCUGCAAUUGAUAGCUUGGGUCUGUGACACGUUCGCCGCUGUCGCCGUCGCUGUCGCCGUCGCUGUC